UAAUUUUUUGACCCUCUUUGAAUUGUGCUGUAAAUUAUAUAUAUAUGAUGUUAAUGGUAAUUUUGCAAGUAAAGAAGGUAAAACUGCUGAAGUAGAAGGCUGUGAAAAAUACAUAAUUAGAAAGACUUCACACCCAAAAGUCGUGAUGUCGUCACAUGAGCAUGAACAGGUCUUACUCGUUCUUUUGCUUCUCGGCUAACGAAAGGACGAGGAGUCGCUGGAUAAAACACAUCAGGUCCCGUCGGGGGACAACAGAAGUCAUCCAGCUCAAAAGUAGCGGCGCCUUCAGGACCUGAGUUAGCCUGAAGCUAGCUGACCACGCCAUGUGAAACCUAUCUAAAGAUGCAGUCACAUGGCUAGCAGGCUAACGGAGAGCAAAGUCAGGACGCUAACUGACACGUAGCUCCGUGAAGAAAACAAAGGCUACAGGCAGGGAGAGUCAGGAGAGAGGAAGAGGACGACGGAGACGGAGGAAGGAAGGUUCAGGAGAGGUGAAGCAGAAAGGAGGUCAGGGCGAAAGAGGAAAAAAGAAGAGAGGAUACAGAUAGAGAGAGAGAGAGAGAGAGGAAGAUAAAUGAGAGAGGAGAUGGACAGAGGGGUAUUAGAAGAGACAGGAGGGAGAGCAGGAGGGAAAAAGAAAAACAGAAGGACGGGAAGAUGGAUCAAGGG
Long non-coding RNA from Thunnus maccoyii (southern bluefin tuna), 669 nucleotides. RefSeq lists it as uncharacterized. The transcript has 3 exons. Lineage: Eukaryota; Metazoa; Chordata; Actinopteri; Scombriformes; Scombridae. The record is from RefSeq and is a predicted model, not a curated record.